This 665-nucleotide ribosomal RNA is filed under the name uncultured bacterium. RNAcentral describes it as "bacterial SSU rRNA". It matches the Rfam family "Bacterial small subunit ribosomal RNA", at positions 9 to 663 of the family's 1533-position model. The record is from RNAcentral.
GAGUUUGAUCCUGGCUCAGAUUGAACGCUGGCGGCAGGCCUAACACAUGCAAGUCGAACGGUAACAGGAAGAAGCUUGCUUCUUUGCUGACGAGUGGCGGACGAGUGAGUAAUGUCUGGGAAACUGCCUGAUGGAGGGGGAUAACUACUGGAAACGGUAGCUAAUACCGCAUAACGUCGCAAGACCAAAGAGGGGGACCUUCGGGCCUCUUGCCAUCGGAUGUGCCCAGAUGGGAUUAGCUAGUAGGUGGGGUAACGGCUCACCUAGGCGACGAUCCCUAGCUGGUCUGAGAGGAUGACCAGCCACACUGGAACUGAGACACGGUCCAGACUCCUACGGGAGGCAGCAGUGGGGAAUAUUGCACAAUGGGCGCAAGCCUGAUGCAGCCAUGCCGCGUGUAUGAAGAAGGCCUUCGGGUUGUAAAGUACUUUCAGCGGGGAGGAAGGGAGUAAAGUUAAUACCUUUGCUCAUUGACGUUACCCGCAGAAGAAGCACCGGCUAACUCCGUGCCAGCAGCCGCGGUAAUACGGAGGGUGCAAGCGUUAAUCGGAAUUACUGGGCGUAAAGCGCACGCAGGCGGUUUGUUAAGUCAGAUGUGAAAUCCCCGGGCUCAACCUGGGAACUGCAUCUGAUACUGGCAAGCUUGAGUCUCGUAGAGGGGGGUA